GACUUUGAAGUAUAGUAAUACGUUGAAUUGCAAAUUCAAAGAGGUAAUUAUAGGAUUACCAAAGUCU
RNAcentral lists this transfer RNA (67 nucleotides) under Lutreolina crassicaudata (thick-tailed opossum). RNAcentral describes it as "tRNA-Cys". The record is from RNAcentral. Lineage: Eukaryota; Metazoa; Chordata; Mammalia; Didelphimorphia; Didelphidae.